RNAcentral lists this long non-coding RNA (411 nucleotides) under Nicotiana benthamiana. RNAcentral's name for it is "long non-coding RNA (NBEN_LNC022154)". The record is from RNAcentral. Lineage: Eukaryota; Viridiplantae; Streptophyta; Magnoliopsida; Solanales; Solanaceae.
CAAGGACUGACACUCAGGUGAUCUAUGUUGAUCCCACAACUGGAAAUCUUCGCUACAAUGAAAAGACAGGAUAUGAUGUUUUCAAUUCUCAAAGUGAAGCCUUAGAUUAUGUGACUAAUGGUUCAAAAUGGCUGUGCAAGAGUAUAACCUAUGCCAGGGCUGUGCUAGGAUAUACUGCCCUUGGGAGCUUUGGUUUACUUCUUGUUGCGACAAAGUUGUCAGCCAGCAUUCCAAAUUUGCCUGGGGGUGGAUGUAUAUAUACAGUACAUCGAACCUAUGCCAGGGCUGUGCUAGGAUAUACUGCCCUUGGGAGCUUUGGUUUACUUCUUGUUGCGACAAAGUUGUCAGCCAGCAUUCCAAAUUUGCCUGGGGGUGGAUGUGUAUAUACAGUAACUGAGAGCCAAUGGAUCA